RNAcentral lists this ribosomal RNA (498 nucleotides) under uncultured bacterium. Its description in RNAcentral is "partial 16S ribosomal RNA". It matches the Rfam family "Bacterial small subunit ribosomal RNA", at positions 28 to 507 of the family's 1533-position model. The record is from RNAcentral.
GACGAACGCUGGCGGCGUGCCUAAUACAUGCAAGUCGAGCGGACGGAUGGGAGCUUGCUCCCAGACCGUCAGCGGCGGACGGGUGAGUAACACGUGGGCAACCUGCCUGUAAGACUGGGAUAACUCCGGGAAACCGGGGCUAAUACCGGAUAACUCUUUCCCUCACAUGAGGGAAAGCUGAAAGAUGGCAUCUCGCUAUCACUUACAGAUGGGCCCGCGGCGCAUUAGCUAGUUGGUGAGGUAACGGCUCACCAAGGCGACGAUGCGUAGCCGACCUGAGAGGGUGAUCGGCCACACUGGGACUGAGACACGGCCCAGACCCCUACGGGAGGCAGCAGUAGGGAAUCUUCCGCAAUGGACGAAAGUCUGACGGAGCAACGCCGCGUGAGUGAUGAAGGUUUUCGGAUCGUAAAACUCUGUUGUCAGGGAAGAACAAGUACCGGAGUAACUGCCGGUACCUUGACGGUACCUGACCAGAAAGCCACGGCUAACUACGUG